CACGCUGUAAACGAUGAGUACUAGGUGUCGGGGGUUACCCCCCUCGGUGCCGCAGCUAACGCAUUAAGUACUCCGCCUGGGAAGUACGCUCGCAAGAGGGAAACUCAAAGGAAUUGACGGAGACCCGAACAAGUAGCGGAGCAUGUGGUUUAAUUCGAAGCAACGCGAAGAACCUUACCUAAGCUUGACAUCCCAAUGACAUCUCCUUAAUCGGAGAGUUCCCUUC
RNAcentral lists this ribosomal RNA (226 nucleotides) under Clostridioides difficile. RNAcentral describes it as "partial 16S ribosomal RNA". It matches the Rfam family "Bacterial small subunit ribosomal RNA", at positions 796 to 1021 of the family's 1533-position model. The record is from RNAcentral. Lineage: Bacteria; Bacillati; Bacillota; Clostridia; Peptostreptococcales; Peptostreptococcaceae.